Molecule: unclassified non-coding RNA, 222 nt
Filed under: Hevea brasiliensis (rubber tree)
Lineage: Eukaryota; Viridiplantae; Streptophyta; Magnoliopsida; Malpighiales; Euphorbiaceae
Source: RNAcentral
AAAACAUAUAAUUGACUGCACACAUACUCACAAUCUGAACUCCGCAGCUCGUUGUGCUGGGGCUAAGCUACACGAGGUAUCACCGAGUUCCGGUCUUGUCGUCGAAUCUAGAGUCGAACCAGAGCUGUCUCAGGCCAAUCAUCUGGCCAUAUUGCAGGGUCAGCCAGCCCAUGGCCGAGAAAUAUGCAACAAAGAGGCAGAAUCGACGGAAGCGAACUGCAU